Molecule: long non-coding RNA, 6044 nt
Filed under: Sus scrofa (pig)
Lineage: Eukaryota; Metazoa; Chordata; Mammalia; Artiodactyla; Suidae
Description: lncRNA (ENSSSCG00000037652.3)
Source: RNAcentral
ACGCACGCGCAGGCCUGGCGUGACAAUCGGUCUGCGCGGGCGCAGUGGCGGCAGCCGCUGCACCCGCGUGGCUAGAAGCCCACGGUCUGCAGGCGAGUUGAGGUUUCAGGUCAUUCCAGCUUCGGCCGUGGGGCCCCGCUCAGACGCGCGCCUGUCUCCUGGUGAAAUCCUGGAGGCUGUCCUUUCCACCGUCCUGUCUGCACGAGGAGGACACAGGGGUCAGCUUCCUGGGAGAAGGGAGUCGUCCGGAUGGCUGGUCCCCGGAGGGAUGACUUACUGCAUGAACAUCGAAAUCAGAUGAACCCUGACGGCGACAGCGAUGGUAAUAGCGCCUCUUCCUCUGCUGCCAGACGCCUGCUCCAAGGAAGUUUCCUAAAACCAGAUAUCGCCACCUCCUCCUUCCUCCUGCUCCACCUGAGCCUCUGCUUCCUCUGCGGAGAACCUUGUGCCCAGGAAUCCACCUAAAUCCAGGGAUCUCUACAAGCUCCCUCUUCCCUCUGCACCCGAGCCGCUUCAGCCUCAGCAGGACACGCAUUCGAAGGAACCUGUCUACAUCCAUGAAAGGCUGCUGAUUCAAAGCCUGCUGUCUUGCCUUAAAUAGCAGGGUGGAUGAUUUCAGGGAGUGGGAUAUAAUUGGGUGGUGUUAGUGGCCUGACUGUAAGUCACACCCCUGCCCAUUCUGCAGCUCAGUGUGCUAUGAGGGAGAGGACUUGGGAAAUCAGGCUGGCAAGUUGCCCAGGGCUCUGCAGACCAGGGUUCUACUGUGGGGGGCAGAGGAAGGACUGAGCGUUGCUGUUUGAGCAUUUGGCCACCAGAUGGCAGCAGAGCUGCUCCCCCUGCAGCUCCUGGAUUCGUCUUCAGGCUCAGAGGCAAGGUUGGAGAUGGGUGUUUGGCACCCGGAGAGGUGCCCAGAGCUUUCCGUUUUGGUACAUGGUGCUUCUGACCCUAUGAGCAAAUAUGCCUCCUAUGAGAGAGGGGAAAUAAUUCUUUGAUCAUAUCUGUGGUUCAAUUCCUACAUGGACAGUUGGCCCAAUGGCUGGUGAGUGGACAGGCUGUCUCAGGUCUGAUUCCCCUUUGUUUGGAGGCCCAACUCUGGACAUAGAAAUAUGUGGAUUAUUUUUUGGCCAUACAGUUUGCUAGAAUCAGGUCUGUUCCAAAUGGAGUUGCGUUCUAGAAAGCUGGCCUUCUGGUUAUGAAUGAACUGUGUUAAACUGGGCGUUUUGGGGGGACAUGAUAAGCUCAUAACUGUGCUCUCUCUCUCCAUGGGUUUCUUCAAGCUUUUUCUUCCCUCCCACCUGAGCCUCUUUCUGUGCUGCCAGAACCUGUUGCAAGGAAGAUACUUCAAACAGAGGUCUCCGCAGCCUCUGUCUUCCCUCUGUAGCUGAGCUGCUUCUGCCUCUGCAGGACUCCACUUGAAGGAAGCUGUCUAAAUCCAUGUAAGAGAUCUCCUCGUAUUUUUUUCCCUCCCCCCUGAGGCUCUUCCUCCUCACCAGACACCUGUUCCAAGGAAGCUCCUGCAACAAGGGUGUGGGCUUGUGUCGUGAAGGUUGAGUAUCCAGAGUGACAGUGAAGAAUCCAUACUCCCACCCAAGAGUGGAUUUCAGUGUGCCUGAGAGGAAGAAGAGGAAGACAUCCUGCUGGCAUGUGCCCCAGGUCAGUGCAGACCAGAGUUUUGCUGUGGGAGGCAGAGGAAGGGCUGAGAGUUAUUAGAGCACAUGUCCACCAGAGGGCACCAGAGCCCCUCAUCGCCUCUGCAGCUCCCUGUUUGUAUCUCCAGGCUCAGAAGGGGUUGGAAGAGGGACCCAUGGAACCUCAGGGAGGGGCCCAGAGCCCGGUGUUGGUUUGCAUGGUGCCUCUGACACUGUGGCCCCAUUUGCCUCAAUGCAGGGAGGGGACAGAUUUCUGCCAUUAAAUAUCUAAUUCAGUUCCUAUCUGGCUGGGUGGCCCCAAGUUUAGGGAGUUUGAUAGGCUCUUGGUCUGUGUGUCCUUUACUUGUUUGGAAGCAGAACUCUGGACCCAGAAACACCUGGCUUCAAUGGUGGAUGUUCAGUUUUCUAGAAUCAGCCUGGUGGGGAGUUCGGCUUCUGGAAAGCUGGGCUUCGGUGAUGAAUGGGGUGUGUCUGUGCUGUUGUAUUUCAGGGGUGGGGUGGGCUAUGCACAUGGCUGAGCUCUUUUUCUCCAGAGAUGCCCACAACCUUCAUAUUUCCACUGCCCCUGAGCCACUUCCACCUCUGCGUGACACCCUUUGAAGGAAGCUCUCUCCAUCCAUGUAAGGUGAAUCACGGCUGGGUUGUUUAGUGUUCCAAGGUGAGUCCUGGAUAGGUAGGCUGCUCAUUCAAACCUGCUGGCCUGACUUACAUAGGAGGUUGCUGAUUUUAGGGAGUGGAUAAAUGUGGGCGGGGUGAGGGGCCUGGCUGACGUGAGACAGUCCCUCCCCACCCGUCAUGCAUCUGAGUGUGCUGAGAGGGAGAGCAGUAAGAAAGCCACCUGACAGCUGCCCCAGGCCCGGGCAGAGCAGGGUUCCUCUGUGGGAGGCAGAGGAAGGGCUGAGACUUGCUGUGAGGGCCUCUGUCCACCAGCCUGAGCCGGAGCAACAGCAGAGCUUCCCCUGACCCCCGCCUACUCUCACCACCGUGGCCACAUCACCAGGCUCAGAUUCAGAGAGCAAAGGGCUUGGGGGAGGCCCAAGGAGGUACUUGGGUACUUGGUGCCUCCUAUACUGUUGCCCAAUGUGCUUCGACUCAGAGGAGGAUUAAGGUUCUGCCCCACAUUUCAGGUUCAAUCUGUGCAUGAUCAGGUGGCCCAAUGGCUGGAGAGUUUGACAGGUGGUCUCGGGCCUGAGUGCCCUUUGCUGGUUUGAAGCACAUUGCUGGACCCAGAAACCCCUGCCUUAAAUCUUGGGCGUGCGGAGUUGUAAAUCAGCCUGGGGUGAAAUUUGGCUUCUGGAAAGCUGGGCUUUUGGUCAUGAAUGCAGUGCAUUAAUGUGGUGGUGCUGUGGGGGCAGGUCUCAGCCUCUCCCUGUGCCUUUCUCUCUAGAGAUCUCUACCUCCUCCUUCCUCCUGUUCCUCCUCUGUGGGGGAGCCUGUCAAGGAACCUACCUCAAUUCAGGGAGUGUGAAUGACGCCUGGGAGGUCCUGGAUCUCAAGCCAGAGAUCUCAAGCUUUUCCUUCCCUCCCACCUGAUCCUCUCCCUCCUCCGCCAGACACCUGCUGCAGGGAGGUCCUAAAACCAGGUAACUUUUACAAAGGCUGCAUGGUCCUUGGGUUCAUGCUGGGUCCUAGGCUUGAAGGGUGCUGACUGAUCAGGGGCUGCUCAUAGGACUUACCAAGUGGGGUUGUUGAUUUCAGGGUGUGGGGUGAGUUCCGGCUCUGAGAUUGUCACACCCCAGCCCGUAGCGUGUUUCUGGGCGCUGAAAGGGAGAGGAGGAAGGAAAUCACACUGGCAGUGCCCCCGGGCCCUGCAGAGCGGACUUCUGACGUGGGAGGCUGUCAGGGCUCCGAGUUGCUGUUAGAGCAGCACAUUCUGGUCAAAGGGCUCUGGAGAACCCCGGAGACCCUCCACUCCUUCAGGCUGAAAUACAUGGUUGCCGAUUGUAUGACGAGACCCCAUGGAAGUGCUCGGGGCUGAGAUGGGGUUACAGGGCGCCUCUUAUCAUCUGGCCAAUUUCUUUCACCUCAGGAUACUGGCAUAAUUGCUCACACAUCUUUGGUUCAAAUUCAGCGUGUUUCUCUGAUAAAUGACCAGAAAAUUUGACAGGGCUGACAUCACGCCCUCUCCUCUUGGGUGUUCAGUUCGCUGAGAGGAAGGGGCAGAGGACACUCACGCCGGUCUGUGCCCAAGACCAGUGCUUCAAACGUCAAAGCCCCAUCUUUAGCCCUGGUGUUUCUGGACCCAAGGGUCUGCCUCUGGAGAAACAGGGCCAGCUGACCCAGGGAGCCUGUCACACUCUGGCCCUGGGGCACCGAUCUGGCUGACAUGCCGCCAGAUGCUGAGGGCACAGCUGUGUCCCUGCCCUGAGGUGAGUCCGUUUGGCCAGAGCCGUAGAGGCUCCCUGUUUCCAGCCCCAAGCCUAUGAGCAUGUGCUGAGGGUCCCACAUCCUCCCUCAGCUGCAGCUCUGAGCCCGCAGUCUCAGCCAGGCGUCUGCCAGGGGCUCUGCCUGGGCUGGGGUUCAGCCUGGCGACCUUCAUCUAACACCCGUCUCGCAGCCCUUCCUCCUGUUUCUCAGCCGCCCUAGAAGGUACUCGGGCCUGGGGCCUGGGCUGCUUUAUUUCACACUGGCCUUGGCUGCUCAGUUUCAUUUCUCCUCAGCUGCUGAGCCACGUGAAUAUCCUAGAUACUGGGGUAUUUCCCUCUCCCAGUCUCCCCGAGCGCUCACCCCAACUUACCCCACCCCAAUACGUAAAAACCUCUGCAUCCCCACCAUUGGGUACCGAGAGCCUUCUUUAAAUCACUCCCAACUGCCUUCCCUCUCAGGCCCUUCCUUUAGUUCUGCUGCUUAAAACCGUGAUUGCAGACAGGACAUAGAGGUUCAGAUGGAAGGGAAAGAAAGAAUCUGGGGAGAACUCCUGAAAAAUAAAGCACAGGGGUUCCUGUCUGCCCCCUCAAAAUAGCACCACUUUCACAAGCUCCAUUCAUGACCACCAGCCCCAUUGGACACGUGAUGACUUUACAGAAGCUGCAGGGUUGGUAAUUGCGAGGCCAAGAUUCAAGCAGAUAUUGUGGGUCCAGUGUCCCUGCCCCCUGAGAAACUAAGAGCAAACCAACCCCAGAGAACGUGUCCACCUCUCUGGCCCCUGGCAGCCAGAGCCGGAUGGAACUACCCAUCAGAUGCAGAAAGCACAUGUCUUUCUGCUCCCUGAGGUCAGUCGAUUGGUGCCAGAGAGUCGGAUCUUAACACAUCCUGGGGCUCCCACUAACCCCUCUUGGCACCACCUCGUAGCCUGGAGGUGCAGCCAGGGGGCUUCGGAUGGGCUUUGUCUGUGCUCUGGCCCCUUCCGGAGGCCAUCUCCUCUAACACUGACUCUCAGCCUUUCCUCCGGUUUCCCUCAGCGGCCCCCCAGGGCUCUCCUGGCCUUGGGCAGCUGCCAGCUUGAUAGAAUUCCUCCUCACCUUCUAAGCCAAGUGAAGUGCCCUGAGAGAGGGACAAUUCUCUCAAAGACUCCCAGCACACUCCCCCACCCCAACUUAAUGCAUUAAAAUCCUUUUAAUUACCCUACUUUAAUUCCCGAGAACCACCUUUAAGUCUGCUCCCUGAAACAGGGCUUGGGGACAGGAAAACGAGGCCCCAAAGGAAAGAGAGAGGGAAUUUGGGGGAGGGUCCUGAAGCACAAAGCCUGGCGAUUUGCACAGUCGCCCAGAGGAGCCAGCACCACUGUUAGGCGCUCCAUUCCUGACCAUCAGCCCCUUUGCCGCAGGACAGUGACCUGGGUGGGGGGCGGGGCUUGGCAGUUGCGAGGCCAAGAUUCCGACCAGAGUCCUGCCUCUGAGAAACCAAAAGCAAUCCAUCCCCAGAGAACCUGUCAACUCUCUGGCCCCUGGGCCACCCAGGCAGGCUGGAAACGCCCAUCAGAUGCUGAAGGCACAGCCAUGACCCCUCCCUGAGGUGAGGCCAUUUGGGACAGAGAAUUAGAGGCACCCCAACCACCCCCAAAUCGAUGCGCCUGUGCUGAGUGCACCCACAUUCCUUCUUCUACUCGGGCUCUGAGCCUGAAUGUGCUGCCAGGCAGCGGCAGAGAGUCUCCGCCGGGGCUCCAUGUGGCCUGGUGACCAUCUGCUCCGACUCCAUCUCUCAGCCCUUCCUCCCGAUCCCCUCAGCAGCCCCUGGAGCUACCCUCUCCUUGGGCCCUGGCCGCUUGAUUUCAUUGCUCCUCAGCCACCCACUACAAUGAAGUACCCCAGACACUGGGUCAUUCUCAGUUUCCCGCAUCCCCGGACAUUCAAACUCUCUGCCUCCCCACCCACUGCGUCUUGAGUCUUUAAAUCAAUCCGCUUUCAUUCGCAAGACCUGCCUUCAAGUCGGCUCCUUGUGAUACAGAGGUAGAGG